RNAcentral lists this non-coding RNA (437 nucleotides) under Pan troglodytes (chimpanzee). The record is from RNAcentral. Lineage: Eukaryota; Metazoa; Chordata; Mammalia; Primates; Hominidae.
UACCUGUCUCCUCCCAUAGUUAGGUGCCAAGCACUGUGGAUUCUGCCCCUCAGUGUCCAGACACCCAUUUUCCUUCCCACUGUUCCUUCCCCAUGGAGAAGCCUGUGGCUGGCUGACAGCAGAGAGAGAUGCUCAACUUGGAGAAGGUGUUACCUGGGCCAGGUGGGGAAGGUUUGUUUGCAGAGCAAAGAAGUGAAGAGUCUUUUUGAUUCACAGUAUGAAAAUCAAGUGUAAUUUUUUUAAAAGAAGAAAGAAAAGCCAGUAUGGAGAAAAUGGUACAGAUAUAACUUAAUGAAUCCACAGCAGCUACAAAAGUCAGCUAAUAUAAUGCGCCACAAGCACUAACAUAAAAUCUAUGACAUAUGCCACAGAUCUGGUUUCUCACAAGAUCUAAACCCAGCAUCUGUCAGGAAAUAAACAGGAUGUGCUGACAACAG